This is a long non-coding RNA of Marmota monax (woodchuck), 32361 nucleotides long. RefSeq lists it as uncharacterized. The transcript is spliced from 2 exons. The record is from RefSeq and is a predicted model, not a curated record. Lineage: Eukaryota; Metazoa; Chordata; Mammalia; Rodentia; Sciuridae.
GCCACUUCUGGGAAUGGGUCCUCCUGAUAGAUGGUUGGCUCUCGAGUUGGGGCGUCAGAAGUGCUUCAGGAAAAAGCCUUAGUAUCGUUGUGUGCUUUUGGUCCGCCCGUGAGGCUGCAUGCAUGGUGGUUGAUGUGCUUUGUGAAAGAGCACAGACGCAGUUUGGAUCCCGAAUGAGCCAAUGUGGUGGCAGACCUCAGGGAUGACUUCUCUGGUAGGAGGCGCAUGUGAACCCGAGACCUCAGCUUGUAGUUAUUGAGCCUAGGACAGCCGUGAAUGGUUUGGGGAGUGGAAAGGCCUAACUGGGUCCAAAGAAGUGCGUAAGGAUUGUUGCCUGUGCCUGAAGGAAGUAGAGAGUGAUGAAAUUCAGCAGUUUGCCAAGUGCCUUUCAUAGGCGCUGGAGAGGCGUUGAGGGUCUCCUCUCCUGCACAAGUUGUGGGGUUCAGGCAUUGGACCUUCAGGGUGGGGCUGGGGCUCCUGUUGGAGUCUAUGUCACGUGGGGCUCCGAGAUGCCCGUGGCAAUGGCCCAGAAAGGCAGGAGGUUUCCAGAGGACGUACAUUCUCAAGUUCGUCCUUCCAUGCUUGGCCAUCCUGUGCAGGGAAGGUGUCAGGGUCAGAUGGGGUUGUAGAGUUGGAUGGAGAUUCUAGAUGGGUUUCCUGUGGCUGGAAGUGUUUCUUGGUCACCUUAAGAGCCACAUGGGACCUGAGCUAAGGCCGGCAUGGCGCAGGCAAGUGAAAAGUCUGCAUUCCCUAACGAGCGUGUACUGAGGAGCAGCAGGCUGCGGAGCAGGCCAGUCUUGGUUAUUCUUCAUGGGCAUCCCUCUGUUUUGUCUCCUUGCAUUCGCAUGGCAGGUCGUGUUUCCACGGAAGCAUGGAAAGGUUGCCGCCGGCUCCUGUGGCUGUGGGAAGAUGCCCAGGGAGGACGGGGAACACCCGCAUGCCCGUGCCCUCUGUUUCCUGAGUGUGGCCCUUCAUAGCUGACGAUGGUAAGCGUCUCCUUGCCCCAAGUCACCGAGGUUGGUCCUUGCCAGGUGAGGGUCACAAGCGUGGAUCGAUGAUGACUCCCACAAAAACAUUCCUUGGAAGCUGAACAAAAUGAGUGAAAACUCUAUACCGUCGUUCUCAUCGAAACUGAGGUCCACCACGUAGACGUAGGGGGCUGCAGUGAGUUGGGUGGUGGAGGGGAGAACCCUGUGGCCCUUUCCCGACGGGGGCUGUGUGGGAAUGGACCCUGGAAGGGAAGGCCCUUUUCAGCCGAGUUCACUUGGCGUUAGGACUCCGAGCCUGUAGUCCUCUGAGUGUCAGUCCUGAUUUGGUUUCGGCAUGCAUGGGUGAUCCAGAGCUCAAGACGUUGAGGAAGACAUUGGCCUGCCCGGGAUGAUUUCCUAGUGGGUGUUCGGCAGUAGGGUUCAGAGGUACUAGGAGGUUGUGGGCCAUGGCACAGGAGAGUAAGUUUCCUCCUCUUGUGGCCUGGAGACGAUUUUGCCAGGGCGAGUAGAACCAUGCUGGUCUGCUGGGUGUUCCAGAGAAAAUUGAGGUCCUCUUUCAGCGGAAGGCGGAGGCAGGCCCAGCGCAAAGCAUGGGAGACCCUUCUUUAGUGCACAGGGGCGUGGUGUUUCCGGGAGUCUGGUGGGUUUUCUCUUUUCCUGGAAAUGCUACAGUGUUGUCAGUGGUAUUGGCACACAAUGUUGGCAGGAGCCAUGGUCCACCAGGGGAAGGAAGGGUGGGUCUCCAGAGGGACCAGUGCCUGGAUGAGUAGAUGGACAUUUGAGGGAAUGCAAAUGGAGAAACUGGGUCUUACCACCAAGCGGGGCCUUUGGCUGCCACUUCUGGGAAUGGGUCCUCCUGAUAGAUGGUUGGCUCUCGAGUUGGGGCGUCAGAAGUGCUUCAGGAAAAAGCCUUAGUAUCGUUGUGUGCUUUUGGUCCGCCCGUGAGGCUGCAUGCAUGGUGGUUGAUGUGCUUUGUGAAAGAGCACAGACGCAGUUUGGAUCCCGAAUGAGCCAAUGUGGUGGCAGACCUCAGGGAUGACUUCUCUGGUAGGAGGCGCAUGUGAACCCGAGACCUCAGCUUGUAGUUAUUGAGCCUAGGACAGCCGUGAAUGGUUUGGGGAGUGGAAAGGCCUAACUGGGUCCAAAGAAGUGCGUAAGGAUUGUUGCCUGUGCCUGAAGGAAGUAGAGAGUGAUGAAAUUCAGCAGUUUGCCAAGUGCCUUUCAUAGGCGCUGGAGAGGCGUUGAGGGUCUCCUCUCCUGCACAAGUUGUGGGGUUCAGGCAUUGGACCUUCAGGGUGGGGCUGGGGCUCCUGUUGGAGUCUAUGUCACGUGGGGCUCCGAGAUGCCCGUGGCAAUGGCCCAGAAAGGCAGGAGGUUUCCAGAGGACGUACAUUCUCAAGUUCGUCCUUCCAUGCUUGGCCAUCCUGUGCAGGGAAGGUGUCAGGGUCAGAUGGGGUUGUAGAGUUGGAUGGAGAUUCUAGAUGGGUUUCCUGUGGCUGGAAGUGUUUCUUGGUCACCUUAAGAGCCACAUGGGACCUGAGCUAAGGCCGGCAUGGCGCAGGCAAGUGAAAAGUCUGCAUUCCCUAACGAGCGUGUACUGAGGAGCAGCAGGCUGCGGAGCAGGCCAGUCUUGGUUAUUCUUCAUGGGCAUCCCUCUGUUUUGUCUCCUUGCAUUCGCAUGGCAGGUCGUGUUUCCACGGAAGCAUGGAAAGGUUGCCGCCGGCUCCUGUGGCUGUGGGAAGAUGCCCAGGGAGGACGGGGAACACCCGCAUGCCCGUGCCCUCUGUUUCCUGAGUGUGGCCCUUCAUAGCUGACGAUGGUAAGCGUCUCCUUGCCCCAAGUCACCGAGGUUGGUCCUUGCCAGGUGAGGGUCACAAGCGUGGAUCGAUGAUGACUCCCACAAAAACAUUCCUUGGAAGCUGAACAAAAUGAGUGAAAACUCUAUACCGUCGUUCUCAUCGAAACUGAGGUCCACCACGUAGACGUAGGGGGCUGCAGUGAGUUGGGUGGUGGAGGGGAGAACCCUGUGGCCCUUUCCCGACGGGGGCUGUGUGGGAAUGGACCCUGGAAGGGAAGGCCCUUUUCAGCCGAGUUCACUUGGCGUUAGGACUCCGAGCCUGUAGUCCUCUGAGUGUCAGUCCUGAUUUGGUUUCGGCAUGCAUGGGUGAUCCAGAGCUCAAGACGUUGAGGAAGACAUUGGCCUGCCCGGGAUGAUUUCCUAGUGGGUGUUCGGCAGUAGGGUUCAGAGGUACUAGGAGGUUGUGGGCCAUGGCACAGGAGAGUAAGUUUCCUCCUCUUGUGGCCUGGAGACGAUUUUGCCAGGGCGAGUAGAACCAUGCUGGUCUGCUGGGUGUUCCAGAGAAAAUUGAGGUCCUCUUUCAGCGGAAGGCGGAGGCAGGCCCAGCGCAAAGCAUGGGAGACCCUUCUUUAGUGCACAGGGGCGUGGUGUUUCCGGGAGUCUGGUGGGUUUUCUCUUUUCCUGGAAAUGCUACAGUGUUGUCAGUGGUAUUGGCACACAAUGUUGGCAGGAGCCAUGGUCCACCAGGGGAAGGAAGGGUGGGUCUCCAGAGGGACCAGUGCCUGGAUGAGUAGAUGGACAUUUGAGGGAAUGCAAAUGGAGAAACUGGGUCUUACCACCAAGCGGGGCCUUUGGCUGCCACUUCUGGGAAUGGGUCCUCCUGAUAGAUGGUUGGCUCUCGAGUUGGGGCGUCAGAAGUGCUUCAGGAAAAAGCCUUAGUAUCGUUGUGUGCUUUUGGUCCGCCCGUGAGGCUGCAUGCAUGGUGGUUGAUGUGCUUUGUGAAAGAGCACAGACGCAGUUUGGAUCCCGAAUGAGCCAAUGUGGUGGCAGACCUCAGGGAUGACUUCUCUGGUAGGAGGCGCAUGUGAACCCGAGACCUCAGCUUGUAGUUAUUGAGCCUAGGACAGCCGUGAAUGGUUUGGGGAGUGGAAAGGCCUAACUGGGUCCAAAGAAGUGCGUAAGGAUUGUUGCCUGUGCCUGAAGGAAGUAGAGAGUGAUGAAAUUCAGCAGUUUGCCAAGUGCCUUUCAUAGGCGCUGGAGAGGCGUUGAGGGUCUCCUCUCCUGCACAAGUUGUGGGGUUCAGGCAUUGGACCUUCAGGGUGGGGCUGGGGCUCCUGUUGGAGUCUAUGUCACGUGGGGCUCCGAGAUGCCCGUGGCAAUGGCCCAGAAAGGCAGGAGGUUUCCAGAGGACGUACAUUCUCAAGUUCGUCCUUCCAUGCUUGGCCAUCCUGUGCAGGGAAGGUGUCAGGGUCAGAUGGGGUUGUAGAGUUGGAUGGAGAUUCUAGAUGGGUUUCCUGUGGCUGGAAGUGUUUCUUGGUCACCUUAAGAGCCACAUGGGACCUGAGCUAAGGCCGGCAUGGCGCAGGCAAGUGAAAAGUCUGCAUUCCCUAACGAGCGUGUACUGAGGAGCAGCAGGCUGCGGAGCAGGCCAGUCUUGGUUAUUCUUCAUGGGCAUCCCUCUGUUUUGUCUCCUUGCAUUCGCAUGGCAGGUCGUGUUUCCACGGAAGCAUGGAAAGGUUGCCGCCGGCUCCUGUGGCUGUGGGAAGAUGCCCAGGGAGGACGGGGAACACCCGCAUGCCCGUGCCCUCUGUUUCCUGAGUGUGGCCCUUCAUAGCUGACGAUGGUAAGCGUCUCCUUGCCCCAAGUCACCGAGGUUGGUCCUUGCCAGGUGAGGGUCACAAGCGUGGAUCGAUGAUGACUCCCACAAAAACAUUCCUUGGAAGCUGAACAAAAUGAGUGAAAACUCUAUACCGUCGUUCUCAUCGAAACUGAGGUCCACCACGUAGACGUAGGGGGCUGCAGUGAGUUGGGUGGUGGAGGGGAGAACCCUGUGGCCCUUUCCCGACGGGGGCUGUGUGGGAAUGGACCCUGGAAGGGAAGGCCCUUUUCAGCCGAGUUCACUUGGCGUUAGGACUCCGAGCCUGUAGUCCUCUGAGUGUCAGUCCUGAUUUGGUUUCGGCAUGCAUGGGUGAUCCAGAGCUCAAGACGUUGAGGAAGACAUUGGCCUGCCCGGGAUGAUUUCCUAGUGGGUGUUCGGCAGUAGGGUUCAGAGGUACUAGGAGGUUGUGGGCCAUGGCACAGGAGAGUAAGUUUCCUCCUCUUGUGGCCUGGAGACGAUUUUGCCAGGGCGAGUAGAACCAUGCUGGUCUGCUGGGUGUUCCAGAGAAAAUUGAGGUCCUCUUUCAGCGGAAGGCGGAGGCAGGCCCAGCGCAAAGCAUGGGAGACCCUUCUUUAGUGCACAGGGGCGUGGUGUUUCCGGGAGUCUGGUGGGUUUUCUCUUUUCCUGGAAAUGCUACAGUGUUGUCAGUGGUAUUGGCACACAAUGUUGGCAGGAGCCAUGGUCCACCAGGGGAAGGAAGGGUGGGUCUCCAGAGGGACCAGUGCCUGGAUGAGUAGAUGGACAUUUGAGGGAAUGCAAAUGGAGAAACUGGGUCUUACCACCAAGCGGGGCCUUUGGCUGCCACUUCUGGGAAUGGGUCCUCCUGAUAGAUGGUUGGCUCUCGAGUUGGGGCGUCAGAAGUGCUUCAGGAAAAAGCCUUAGUAUCGUUGUGUGCUUUUGGUCCGCCCGUGAGGCUGCAUGCAUGGUGGUUGAUGUGCUUUGUGAAAGAGCACAGACGCAGUUUGGAUCCCGAAUGAGCCAAUGUGGUGGCAGACCUCAGGGAUGACUUCUCUGGUAGGAGGCGCAUGUGAACCCGAGACCUCAGCUUGUAGUUAUUGAGCCUAGGACAGCCGUGAAUGGUUUGGGGAGUGGAAAGGCCUAACUGGGUCCAAAGAAGUGCGUAAGGAUUGUUGCCUGUGCCUGAAGGAAGUAGAGAGUGAUGAAAUUCAGCAGUUUGCCAAGUGCCUUUCAUAGGCGCUGGAGAGGCGUUGAGGGUCUCCUCUCCUGCACAAGUUGUGGGGUUCAGGCAUUGGACCUUCAGGGUGGGGCUGGGGCUCCUGUUGGAGUCUAUGUCACGUGGGGCUCCGAGAUGCCCGUGGCAAUGGCCCAGAAAGGCAGGAGGUUUCCAGAGGACGUACAUUCUCAAGUUCGUCCUUCCAUGCUUGGCCAUCCUGUGCAGGGAAGGUGUCAGGGUCAGAUGGGGUUGUAGAGUUGGAUGGAGAUUCUAGAUGGGUUUCCUGUGGCUGGAAGUGUUUCUUGGUCACCUUAAGAGCCACAUGGGACCUGAGCUAAGGCCGGCAUGGCGCAGGCAAGUGAAAAGUCUGCAUUCCCUAACGAGCGUGUACUGAGGAGCAGCAGGCUGCGGAGCAGGCCAGUCUUGGUUAUUCUUCAUGGGCAUCCCUCUGUUUUGUCUCCUUGCAUUCGCAUGGCAGGUCGUGUUUCCACGGAAGCAUGGAAAGGUUGCCGCCGGCUCCUGUGGCUGUGGGAAGAUGCCCAGGGAGGACGGGGAACACCCGCAUGCCCGUGCCCUCUGUUUCCUGAGUGUGGCCCUUCAUAGCUGACGAUGGUAAGCGUCUCCUUGCCCCAAGUCACCGAGGUUGGUCCUUGCCAGGUGAGGGUCACAAGCGUGGAUCGAUGAUGACUCCCACAAAAACAUUCCUUGGAAGCUGAACAAAAUGAGUGAAAACUCUAUACCGUCGUUCUCAUCGAAACUGAGGUCCACCACGUAGACGUAGGGGGCUGCAGUGAGUUGGGUGGUGGAGGGGAGAACCCUGUGGCCCUUUCCCGACGGGGGCUGUGUGGGAAUGGACCCUGGAAGGGAAGGCCCUUUUCAGCCGAGUUCACUUGGCGUUAGGACUCCGAGCCUGUAGUCCUCUGAGUGUCAGUCCUGAUUUGGUUUCGGCAUGCAUGGGUGAUCCAGAGCUCAAGACGUUGAGGAAGACAUUGGCCUGCCCGGGAUGAUUUCCUAGUGGGUGUUCGGCAGUAGGGUUCAGAGGUACUAGGAGGUUGUGGGCCAUGGCACAGGAGAGUAAGUUUCCUCCUCUUGUGGCCUGGAGACGAUUUUGCCAGGGCGAGUAGAACCAUGCUGGUCUGCUGGGUGUUCCAGAGAAAAUUGAGGUCCUCUUUCAGCGGAAGGCGGAGGCAGGCCCAGCGCAAAGCAUGGGAGACCCUUCUUUAGUGCACAGGGGCGUGGUGUUUCCGGGAGUCUGGUGGGUUUUCUCUUUUCCUGGAAAUGCUACAGUGUUGUCAGUGGUAUUGGCACACAAUGUUGGCAGGAGCCAUGGUCCACCAGGGGAAGGAAGGGUGGGUCUCCAGAGGGACCAGUGCCUGGAUGAGUAGAUGGACAUUUGAGGGAAUGCAAAUGGAGAAACUGGGUCUUACCACCAAGCGGGGCCUUUGGCUGCCACUUCUGGGAAUGGGUCCUCCUGAUAGAUGGUUGGCUCUCGAGUUGGGGCGUCAGAAGUGCUUCAGGAAAAAGCCUUAGUAUCGUUGUGUGCUUUUGGUCCGCCCGUGAGGCUGCAUGCAUGGUGGUUGAUGUGCUUUGUGAAAGAGCACAGACGCAGUUUGGAUCCCGAAUGAGCCAAUGUGGUGGCAGACCUCAGGGAUGACUUCUCUGGUAGGAGGCGCAUGUGAACCCGAGACCUCAGCUUGUAGUUAUUGAGCCUAGGACAGCCGUGAAUGGUUUGGGGAGUGGAAAGGCCUAACUGGGUCCAAAGAAGUGCGUAAGGAUUGUUGCCUGUGCCUGAAGGAAGUAGAGAGUGAUGAAAUUCAGCAGUUUGCCAAGUGCCUUUCAUAGGCGCUGGAGAGGCGUUGAGGGUCUCCUCUCCUGCACAAGUUGUGGGGUUCAGGCAUUGGACCUUCAGGGUGGGGCUGGGGCUCCUGUUGGAGUCUAUGUCACGUGGGGCUCCGAGAUGCCCGUGGCAAUGGCCCAGAAAGGCAGGAGGUUUCCAGAGGACGUACAUUCUCAAGUUCGUCCUUCCAUGCUUGGCCAUCCUGUGCAGGGAAGGUGUCAGGGUCAGAUGGGGUUGUAGAGUUGGAUGGAGAUUCUAGAUGGGUUUCCUGUGGCUGGAAGUGUUUCUUGGUCACCUUAAGAGCCACAUGGGACCUGAGCUAAGGCCGGCAUGGCGCAGGCAAGUGAAAAGUCUGCAUUCCCUAACGAGCGUGUACUGAGGAGCAGCAGGCUGCGGAGCAGGCCAGUCUUGGUUAUUCUUCAUGGGCAUCCCUCUGUUUUGUCUCCUUGCAUUCGCAUGGCAGGUCGUGUUUCCACGGAAGCAUGGAAAGGUUGCCGCCGGCUCCUGUGGCUGUGGGAAGAUGCCCAGGGAGGACGGGGAACACCCGCAUGCCCGUGCCCUCUGUUUCCUGAGUGUGGCCCUUCAUAGCUGACGAUGGUAAGCGUCUCCUUGCCCCAAGUCACCGAGGUUGGUCCUUGCCAGGUGAGGGUCACAAGCGUGGAUCGAUGAUGACUCCCACAAAAACAUUCCUUGGAAGCUGAACAAAAUGAGUGAAAACUCUAUACCGUCGUUCUCAUCGAAACUGAGGUCCACCACGUAGACGUAGGGGGCUGCAGUGAGUUGGGUGGUGGAGGGGAGAACCCUGUGGCCCUUUCCCGACGGGGGCUGUGUGGGAAUGGACCCUGGAAGGGAAGGCCCUUUUCAGCCGAGUUCACUUGGCGUUAGGACUCCGAGCCUGUAGUCCUCUGAGUGUCAGUCCUGAUUUGGUUUCGGCAUGCAUGGGUGAUCCAGAGCUCAAGACGUUGAGGAAGACAUUGGCCUGCCCGGGAUGAUUUCCUAGUGGGUGUUCGGCAGUAGGGUUCAGAGGUACUAGGAGGUUGUGGGCCAUGGCACAGGAGAGUAAGUUUCCUCCUCUUGUGGCCUGGAGACGAUUUUGCCAGGGCGAGUAGAACCAUGCUGGUCUGCUGGGUGUUCCAGAGAAAAUUGAGGUCCUCUUUCAGCGGAAGGCGGAGGCAGGCCCAGCGCAAAGCAUGGGAGACCCUUCUUUAGUGCACAGGGGCGUGGUGUUUCCGGGAGUCUGGUGGGUUUUCUCUUUUCCUGGAAAUGCUACAGUGUUGUCAGUGGUAUUGGCACACAAUGUUGGCAGGAGCCAUGGUCCACCAGGGGAAGGAAGGGUGGGUCUCCAGAGGGACCAGUGCCUGGAUGAGUAGAUGGACAUUUGAGGGAAUGCAAAUGGAGAAACUGGGUCUUACCACCAAGCGGGGCCUUUGGCUGCCACUUCUGGGAAUGGGUCCUCCUGAUAGAUGGUUGGCUCUCGAGUUGGGGCGUCAGAAGUGCUUCAGGAAAAAGCCUUAGUAUCGUUGUGUGCUUUUGGUCCGCCCGUGAGGCUGCAUGCAUGGUGGUUGAUGUGCUUUGUGAAAGAGCACAGACGCAGUUUGGAUCCCGAAUGAGCCAAUGUGGUGGCAGACCUCAGGGAUGACUUCUCUGGUAGGAGGCGCAUGUGAACCCGAGACCUCAGCUUGUAGUUAUUGAGCCUAGGACAGCCGUGAAUGGUUUGGGGAGUGGAAAGGCCUAACUGGGUCCAAAGAAGUGCGUAAGGAUUGUUGCCUGUGCCUGAAGGAAGUAGAGAGUGAUGAAAUUCAGCAGUUUGCCAAGUGCCUUUCAUAGGCGCUGGAGAGGCGUUGAGGGUCUCCUCUCCUGCACAAGUUGUGGGGUUCAGGCAUUGGACCUUCAGGGUGGGGCUGGGGCUCCUGUUGGAGUCUAUGUCACGUGGGGCUCCGAGAUGCCCGUGGCAAUGGCCCAGAAAGGCAGGAGGUUUCCAGAGGACGUACAUUCUCAAGUUCGUCCUUCCAUGCUUGGCCAUCCUGUGCAGGGAAGGUGUCAGGGUCAGAUGGGGUUGUAGAGUUGGAUGGAGAUUCUAGAUGGGUUUCCUGUGGCUGGAAGUGUUUCUUGGUCACCUUAAGAGCCACAUGGGACCUGAGCUAAGGCCGGCAUGGCGCAGGCAAGUGAAAAGUCUGCAUUCCCUAACGAGCGUGUACUGAGGAGCAGCAGGCUGCGGAGCAGGCCAGUCUUGGUUAUUCUUCAUGGGCAUCCCUCUGUUUUGUCUCCUUGCAUUCGCAUGGCAGGUCGUGUUUCCACGGAAGCAUGGAAAGGUUGCCGCCGGCUCCUGUGGCUGUGGGAAGAUGCCCAGGGAGGACGGGGAACACCCGCAUGCCCGUGCCCUCUGUUUCCUGAGUGUGGCCCUUCAUAGCUGACGAUGGUAAGCGUCUCCUUGCCCCAAGUCACCGAGGUUGGUCCUUGCCAGGUGAGGGUCACAAGCGUGGAUCGAUGAUGACUCCCACAAAAACAUUCCUUGGAAGCUGAACAAAAUGAGUGAAAACUCUAUACCGUCGUUCUCAUCGAAACUGAGGUCCACCACGUAGACGUAGGGGGCUGCAGUGAGUUGGGUGGUGGAGGGGAGAACCCUGUGGCCCUUUCCCGACGGGGGCUGUGUGGGAAUGGACCCUGGAAGGGAAGGCCCUUUUCAGCCGAGUUCACUUGGCGUUAGGACUCCGAGCCUGUAGUCCUCUGAGUGUCAGUCCUGAUUUGGUUUCGGCAUGCAUGGGUGAUCCAGAGCUCAAGACGUUGAGGAAGACAUUGGCCUGCCCGGGAUGAUUUCCUAGUGGGUGUUCGGCAGUAGGGUUCAGAGGUACUAGGAGGUUGUGGGCCAUGGCACAGGAGAGUAAGUUUCCUCCUCUUGUGGCCUGGAGACGAUUUUGCCAGGGCGAGUAGAACCAUGCUGGUCUGCUGGGUGUUCCAGAGAAAAUUGAGGUCCUCUUUCAGCGGAAGGCGGAGGCAGGCCCAGCGCAAAGCAUGGGAGACCCUUCUUUAGUGCACAGGGGCGUGGUGUUUCCGGGAGUCUGGUGGGUUUUCUCUUUUCCUGGAAAUGCUACAGUGUUGUCAGUGGUAUUGGCACACAAUGUUGGCAGGAGCCAUGGUCCACCAGGGGAAGGAAGGGUGGGUCUCCAGAGGGACCAGUGCCUGGAUGAGUAGAUGGACAUUUGAGGGAAUGCAAAUGGAGAAACUGGGUCUUACCACCAAGCGGGGCCUUUGGCUGCCACUUCUGGGAAUGGGUCCUCCUGAUAGAUGGUUGGCUCUCGAGUUGGGGCGUCAGAAGUGCUUCAGGAAAAAGCCUUAGUAUCGUUGUGUGCUUUUGGUCCGCCCGUGAGGCUGCAUGCAUGGUGGUUGAUGUGCUUUGUGAAAGAGCACAGACGCAGUUUGGAUCCCGAAUGAGCCAAUGUGGUGGCAGACCUCAGGGAUGACUUCUCUGGUAGGAGGCGCAUGUGAACCCGAGACCUCAGCUUGUAGUUAUUGAGCCUAGGACAGCCGUGAAUGGUUUGGGGAGUGGAAAGGCCUAACUGGGUCCAAAGAAGUGCGUAAGGAUUGUUGCCUGUGCCUGAAGGAAGUAGAGAGUGAUGAAAUUCAGCAGUUUGCCAAGUGCCUUUCAUAGGCGCUGGAGAGGCGUUGAGGGUCUCCUCUCCUGCACAAGUUGUGGGGUUCAGGCAUUGGACCUUCAGGGUGGGGCUGGGGCUCCUGUUGGAGUCUAUGUCACGUGGGGCUCCGAGAUGCCCGUGGCAAUGGCCCAGAAAGGCAGGAGGUUUCCAGAGGACGUACAUUCUCAAGUUCGUCCUUCCAUGCUUGGCCAUCCUGUGCAGGGAAGGUGUCAGGGUCAGAUGGGGUUGUAGAGUUGGAUGGAGAUUCUAGAUGGGUUUCCUGUGGCUGGAAGUGUUUCUUGGUCACCUUAAGAGCCACAUGGGACCUGAGCUAAGGCCGGCAUGGCGCAGGCAAGUGAAAAGUCUGCAUUCCCUAACGAGCGUGUACUGAGGAGCAGCAGGCUGCGGAGCAGGCCAGUCUUGGUUAUUCUUCAUGGGCAUCCCUCUGUUUUGUCUCCUUGCAUUCGCAUGGCAGGUCGUGUUUCCACGGAAGCAUGGAAAGGUUGCCGCCGGCUCCUGUGGCUGUGGGAAGAUGCCCAGGGAGGACGGGGAACACCCGCAUGCCCGUGCCCUCUGUUUCCUGAGUGUGGCCCUUCAUAGCUGACGAUGGUAAGCGUCUCCUUGCCCCAAGUCACCGAGGUUGGUCCUUGCCAGGUGAGGGUCACAAGCGUGGAUCGAUGAUGACUCCCACAAAAACAUUCCUUGGAAGCUGAACAAAAUGAGUGAAAACUCUAUACCGUCGUUCUCAUCGAAACUGAGGUCCACCACGUAGACGUAGGGGGCUGCAGUGAGUUGGGUGGUGGAGGGGAGAACCCUGUGGCCCUUUCCCGACGGGGGCUGUGUGGGAAUGGACCCUGGAAGGGAAGGCCCUUUUCAGCCGAGUUCACUUGGCGUUAGGACUCCGAGCCUGUAGUCCUCUGAGUGUCAGUCCUGAUUUGGUUUCGGCAUGCAUGGGUGAUCCAGAGCUCAAGACGUUGAGGAAGACAUUGGCCUGCCCGGGAUGAUUUCCUAGUGGGUGUUCGGCAGUAGGGUUCAGAGGUACUAGGAGGUUGUGGGCCAUGGCACAGGAGAGUAAGUUUCCUCCUCUUGUGGCCUGGAGACGAUUUUGCCAGGGCGAGUAGAACCAUGCUGGUCUGCUGGGUGUUCCAGAGAAAAUUGAGGUCCUCUUUCAGCGGAAGGCGGAGGCAGGCCCAGCGCAAAGCAUGGGAGACCCUUCUUUAGUGCACAGGGGCGUGGUGUUUCCGGGAGUCUGGUGGGUUUUCUCUUUUCCUGGAAAUGCUACAGUGUUGUCAGUGGUAUUGGCACACAAUGUUGGCAGGAGCCAUGGUCCACCAGGGGAAGGAAGGGUGGGUCUCCAGAGGGACCAGUGCCUGGAUGAGUAGAUGGACAUUUGAGGGAAUGCAAAUGGAGAAACUGGGUCUUACCACCAAGCGGGGCCUUUGGCUGCCACUUCUGGGAAUGGGUCCUCCUGAUAGAUGGUUGGCUCUCGAGUUGGGGCGUCAGAAGUGCUUCAGGAAAAAGCCUUAGUAUCGUUGUGUGCUUUUGGUCCGCCCGUGAGGCUGCAUGCAUGGUGGUUGAUGUGCUUUGUGAAAGAGCACAGACGCAGUUUGGAUCCCGAAUGAGCCAAUGUGGUGGCAGACCUCAGGGAUGACUUCUCUGGUAGGAGGCGCAUGUGAACCCGAGACCUCAGCUUGUAGUUAUUGAGCCUAGGACAGCCGUGAAUGGUUUGGGGAGUGGAAAGGCCUAACUGGGUCCAAAGAAGUGCGUAAGGAUUGUUGCCUGUGCCUGAAGGAAGUAGAGAGUGAUGAAAUUCAGCAGUUUGCCAAGUGCCUUUCAUAGGCGCUGGAGAGGCGUUGAGGGUCUCCUCUCCUGCACAAGUUGUGGGGUUCAGGCAUUGGACCUUCAGGGUGGGGCUGGGGCUCCUGUUGGAGUCUAUGUCACGUGGGGCUCCGAGAUGCCCGUGGCAAUGGCCCAGAAAGGCAGGAGGUUUCCAGAGGACGUACAUUCUCAAGUUCGUCCUUCCAUGCUUGGCCAUCCUGUGCAGGGAAGGUGUCAGGGUCAGAUGGGGUUGUAGAGUUGGAUGGAGAUUCUAGAUGGGUUUCCUGUGGCUGGAAGUGUUUCUUGGUCACCUUAAGAGCCACAUGGGACCUGAGCUAAGGCCGGCAUGGCGCAGGCAAGUGAAAAGUCUGCAUUCCCUAACGAGCGUGUACUGAGGAGCAGCAGGCUGCGGAGCAGGCCAGUCUUGGUUAUUCUUCAUGGGCAUCCCUCUGUUUUGUCUCCUUGCAUUCGCAUGGCAGGUCGUGUUUCCACGGAAGCAUGGAAAGGUUGCCGCCGGCUCCUGUGGCUGUGGGAAGAUGCCCAGGGAGGACGGGGAACACCCGCAUGCCCGUGCCCUCUGUUUCCUGAGUGUGGCCCUUCAUAGCUGACGAUGGUAAGCGUCUCCUUGCCCCAAGUCACCGAGGUUGGUCCUUGCCAGGUGAGGGUCACAAGCGUGGAUCGAUGAUGACUCCCACAAAAACAUUCCUUGGAAGCUGAACAAAAUGAGUGAAAACUCUAUACCGUCGUUCUCAUCGAAACUGAGGUCCACCACGUAGACGUAGGGGGCUGCAGUGAGUUGGGUGGUGGAGGGGAGAACCCUGUGGCCCUUUCCCGACGGGGGCUGUGUGGGAAUGGACCCUGGAAGGGAAGGCCCUUUUCAGCCGAGUUCACUUGGCGUUAGGACUCCGAGCCUGUAGUCCUCUGAGUGUCAGUCCUGAUUUGGUUUCGGCAUGCAUGGGUGAUCCAGAGCUCAAGACGUUGAGGAAGACAUUGGCCUGCCCGGGAUGAUUUCCUAGUGGGUGUUCGGCAGUAGGGUUCAGAGGUACUAGGAGGUUGUGGGCCAUGGCACAGGAGAGUAAGUUUCCUCCUCUUGUGGCCUGGAGACGAUUUUGCCAGGGCGAGUAGAACCAUGCUGGUCUGCUGGGUGUUCCAGAGAAAAUUGAGGUCCUCUUUCAGCGGAAGGCGGAGGCAGGCCCAGCGCAAAGCAUGGGAGACCCUUCUUUAGUGCACAGGGGCGUGGUGUUUCCGGGAGUCUGGUGGGUUUUCUCUUUUCCUGGAAAUGCUACAGUGUUGUCAGUGGUAUUGGCACACAAUGUUGGCAGGAGCCAUGGUCCACCAGGGGAAGGAAGGGUGGGUCUCCAGAGGGACCAGUGCCUGGAUGAGUAGAUGGACAUUUGAGGGAAUGCAAAUGGAGAAACUGGGUCUUACCACCAAGCGGGGCCUUUGGCUGCCACUUCUGGGAAUGGGUCCUCCUGAUAGAUGGUUGGCUCUCGAGUUGGGGCGUCAGAAGUGCUUCAGGAAAAAGCCUUAGUAUCGUUGUGUGCUUUUGGUCCGCCCGUGAGGCUGCAUGCAUGGUGGUUGAUGUGCUUUGUGAAAGAGCACAGACGCAGUUUGGAUCCCGAAUGAGCCAAUGUGGUGGCAGACCUCAGGGAUGACUUCUCUGGUAGGAGGCGCAUGUGAACCCGAGACCUCAGCUUGUAGUUAUUGAGCCUAGGACAGCCGUGAAUGGUUUGGGGAGUGGAAAGGCCUAACUGGGUCCAAAGAAGUGCGUAAGGAUUGUUGCCUGUGCCUGAAGGAAGUAGAGAGUGAUGAAAUUCAGCAGUUUGCCAAGUGCCUUUCAUAGGCGCUGGAGAGGCGUUGAGGGUCUCCUCUCCUGCACAAGUUGUGGGGUUCAGGCAUUGGACCUUCAGGGUGGGGCUGGGGCUCCUGUUGGAGUCUAUGUCACGUGGGGCUCCGAGAUGCCCGUGGCAAUGGCCCAGAAAGGCAGGAGGUUUCCAGAGGACGUACAUUCUCAAGUUCGUCCUUCCAUGCUUGGCCAUCCUGUGCAGGGAAGGUGUCAGGGUCAGAUGGGGUUGUAGAGUUGGAUGGAGAUUCUAGAUGGGUUUCCUGUGGCUGGAAGUGUUUCUUGGUCACCUUAAGAGCCACAUGGGACCUGAGCUAAGGCCGGCAUGGCGCAGGCAAGUGAAAAGUCUGCAUUCCCUAACGAGCGUGUACUGAGGAGCAGCAGGCUGCGGAGCAGGCCAGUCUUGGUUAUUCUUCAUGGGCAUCCCUCUGUUUUGUCUCCUUGCAUUCGCAUGGCAGGUCGUGUUUCCACGGAAGCAUGGAAAGGUUGCCGCCGGCUCCUGUGGCUGUGGGAAGAUGCCCAGGGAGGACGGGGAACACCCGCAUGCCCGUGCCCUCUGUUUCCUGAGUGUGGCCCUUCAUAGCUGACGAUGGUAAGCGUCUCCUUGCCCCAAGUCACCGAGGUUGGUCCUUGCCAGGUGAGGGUCACAAGCGUGGAUCGAUGAUGACUCCCACAAAAACAUUCCUUGGAAGCUGAACAAAAUGAGUGAAAACUCUAUACCGUCGUUCUCAUCGAAACUGAGGUCCACCACGUAGACGUAGGGGGCUGCAGUGAGUUGGGUGGUGGAGGGGAGAACCCUGUGGCCCUUUCCCGACGGGGGCUGUGUGGGAAUGGACCCUGGAAGGGAAGGCCCUUUUCAGCCGAGUUCACUUGGCGUUAGGACUCCGAGCCUGUAGUCCUCUGAGUGUCAGUCCUGAUUUGGUUUCGGCAUGCAUGGGUGAUCCAGAGCUCAAGACGUUGAGGAAGACAUUGGCCUGCCCGGGAUGAUUUCCUAGUGGGUGUUCGGCAGUAGGGUUCAGAGGUACUAGGAGGUUGUGGGCCAUGGCACAGGAGAGUAAGUUUCCUCCUCUUGUGGCCUGGAGACGAUUUUGCCAGGGCGAGUAGAACCAUGCUGGUCUGCUGGGUGUUCCAGAGAAAAUUGAGGUCCUCUUUCAGCGGAAGGCGGAGGCAGGCCCAGCGCAAAGCAUGGGAGACCCUUCUUUAGUGCACAGGGGCGUGGUGUUUCCGGGAGUCUGGUGGGUUUUCUCUUUUCCUGGAAAUGCUACAGUGUUGUCAGUGGUAUUGGCACACAAUGUUGGCAGGAGCCAUGGUCCACCAGGGGAAGGAAGGGUGGGUCUCCAGAGGGACCAGUGCCUGGAUGAGUAGAUGGACAUUUGAGGGAAUGCAAAUGGAGAAACUGGGUCUUACCACCAAGCGGGGCCUUUGGCUGCCACUUCUGGGAAUGGGUCCUCCUGAUAGAUGGUUGGCUCUCGAGUUGGGGCGUCAGAAGUGCUUCAGGAAAAAGCCUUAGUAUCGUUGUGUGCUUUUGGUCCGCCCGUGAGGCUGCAUGCAUGGUGGUUGAUGUGCUUUGUGAAAGAGCACAGACGCAGUUUGGAUCCCGAAUGAGCCAAUGUGGUGGCAGACCUCAGGGAUGACUUCUCUGGUAGGAGGCGCAUGUGAACCCGAGACCUCAGCUUGUAGUUAUUGAGCCUAGGACAGCCGUGAAUGGUUUGGGGAGUGGAAAGGCCUAACUGGGUCCAAAGAAGUGCGUAAGGAUUGUUGCCUGUGCCUGAAGGAAGUAGAGAGUGAUGAAAUUCAGCAGUUUGCCAAGUGCCUUUCAUAGGCGCUGGAGAGGCGUUGAGGGUCUCCUCUCCUGCACAAGUUGUGGGGUUCAGGCAUUGGACCUUCAGGGUGGGGCUGGGGCUCCUGUUGGAGUCUAUGUCACGUGGGGCUCCGAGAUGCCCGUGGCAAUGGCCCAGAAAGGCAGGAGGUUUCCAGAGGACGUACAUUCUCAAGUUCGUCCUUCCAUGCUUGGCCAUCCUGUGCAGGGAAGGUGUCAGGGUCAGAUGGGGUUGUAGAGUUGGAUGGAGAUUCUAGAUGGGUUUCCUGUGGCUGGAAGUGUUUCUUGGUCACCUUAAGAGCCACAUGGGACCUGAGCUAAGGCCGGCAUGGCGCAGGCAAGUGAAAAGUCUGCAUUCCCUAACGAGCGUGUACUGAGGAGCAGCAGGCUGCGGAGCAGGCCAGUCUUGGUUAUUCUUCAUGGGCAUCCCUCUGUUUUGUCUCCUUGCAUUCGCAUGGCAGGUCGUGUUUCCACGGAAGCAUGGAAAGGUUGCCGCCGGCUCCUGUGGCUGUGGGAAGAUGCCCAGGGAGGACGGGGAACACCCGCAUGCCCGUGCCCUCUGUUUCCUGAGUGUGGCCCUUCAUAGCUGACGAUGGUAAGCGUCUCCUUGCCCCAAGUCACCGAGGUUGGUCCUUGCCAGGUGAGGGUCACAAGCGUGGAUCGAUGAUGACUCCCACAAAAACAUUCCUUGGAAGCUGAACAAAAUGAGUGAAAACUCUAUACCGUCGUUCUCAUCGAAACUGAGGUCCACCACGUAGACGUAGGGGGCUGCAGUGAGUUGGGUGGUGGAGGGGAGAACCCUGUGGCCCUUUCCCGACGGGGGCUGUGUGGGAAUGGACCCUGGAAGGGAAGGCCCUUUUCAGCCGAGUUCACUUGGCGUUAGGACUCCGAGCCUGUAGUCCUCUGAGUGUCAGUCCUGAUUUGGUUUCGGCAUGCAUGGGUGAUCCAGAGCUCAAGACGUUGAGGAAGACAUUGGCCUGCCCGGGAUGAUUUCCUAGUGGGUGUUCGGCAGUAGGGUUCAGAGGUACUAGGAGGUUGUGGGCCAUGGCACAGGAGAGUAAGUUUCCUCCUCUUGUGGCCUGGAGACGAUUUUGCCAGGGCGAGUAGAACCAUGCUGGUCUGCUGGGUGUUCCAGAGAAAAUUGAGGUCCUCUUUCAGCGGAAGGCGGAGGCAGGCCCAGCGCAAAGCAUGGGAGACCCUUCUUUAGUGCACAGGGGCGUGGUGUUUCCGGGAGUCUGGUGGGUUUUCUCUUUUCCUGGAAAUGCUACAGUGUUGUCAGUGGUAUUGGCACACAAUGUUGGCAGGAGCCAUGGUCCACCAGGGGAAGGAAGGGUGGGUCUCCAGAGGGACCAGUGCCUGGAUGAGUAGAUGGACAUUUGAGGGAAUGCAAAUGGAGAAACUGGGUCUUACCACCAAGCGGGGCCUUUGGCUGCCACUUCUGGGAAUGGGUCCUCCUGAUAGAUGGUUGGCUCUCGAGUUGGGGCGUCAGAAGUGCUUCAGGAAAAAGCCUUAGUAUCGUUGUGUGCUUUUGGUCCGCCCGUGAGGCUGCAUGCAUGGUGGUUGAUGUGCUUUGUGAAAGAGCACAGACGCAGUUUGGAUCCCGAAUGAGCCAAUGUGGUGGCAGACCUCAGGGAUGACUUCUCUGGUAGGAGGCGCAUGUGAACCCGAGACCUCAGCUUGUAGUUAUUGAGCCUAGGACAGCCGUGAAUGGUUUGGGGAGUGGAAAGGCCUAACUGGGUCCAAAGAAGUGCGUAAGGAUUGUUGCCUGUGCCUGAAGGAAGUAGAGAGUGAUGAAAUUCAGCAGUUUGCCAAGUGCCUUUCAUAGGCGCUGGAGAGGCGUUGAGGGUCUCCUCUCCUGCACAAGUUGUGGGGUUCAGGCAUUGGACCUUCAGGGUGGGGCUGGGGCUCCUGUUGGAGUCUAUGUCACGUGGGGCUCCGAGAUGCCCGUGGCAAUGGCCCAGAAAGGCAGGAGGUUUCCAGAGGACGUACAUUCUCAAGUUCGUCCUUCCAUGCUUGGCCAUCCUGUGCAGGGAAGGUGUCAGGGUCAGAUGGGGUUGUAGAGUUGGAUGGAGAUUCUAGAUGGGUUUCCUGUGGCUGGAAGUGUUUCUUGGUCACCUUAAGAGCCACAUGGGACCUGAGCUAAGGCCGGCAUGGCGCAGGCAAGUGAAAAGUCUGCAUUCCCUAACGAGCGUGUACUGAGGAGCAGCAGGCUGCGGAGCAGGCCAGUCUUGGUUAUUCUUCAUGGGCAUCCCUCUGUUUUGUCUCCUUGCAUUCGCAUGGCAGGUCGUGUUUCCACGGAAGCAUGGAAAGGUUGCCGCCGGCUCCUGUGGCUGUGGGAAGAUGCCCAGGGAGGACGGGGAACACCCGCAUGCCCGUGCCCUCUGUUUCCUGAGUGUGGCCCUUCAUAGCUGACGAUGGUAAGCGUCUCCUUGCCCCAAGUCACCGAGGUUGGUCCUUGCCAGGUGAGGGUCACAAGCGUGGAUCGAUGAUGACUCCCACAAAAACAUUCCUUGGAAGCUGAACAAAAUGAGUGAAAACUCUAUACCGUCGUUCUCAUCGAAACUGAGGUCCACCACGUAGACGUAGGGGGCUGCAGUGAGUUGGGUGGUGGAGGGGAGAACCCUGUGGCCCUUUCCCGACGGGGGCUGUGUGGGAAUGGACCCUGGAAGGGAAGGCCCUUUUCAGCCGAGUUCACUUGGCGUUAGGACUCCGAGCCUGUAGUCCUCUGAGUGUCAGUCCUGAUUUGGUUUCGGCAUGCAUGGGUGAUCCAGAGCUCAAGACGUUGAGGAAGACAUUGGCCUGCCCGGGAUGAUUUCCUAGUGGGUGUUCGGCAGUAGGGUUCAGAGGUACUAGGAGGUUGUGGGCCAUGGCACAGGAGAGUAAGUUUCCUCCUCUUGUGGCCUGGAGACGAUUUUGCCAGGGCGAGUAGAACCAUGCUGGUCUGCUGGGUGUUCCAGAGAAAAUUGAGGUCCUCUUUCAGCGGAAGGCGGAGGCAGGCCCAGCGCAAAGCAUGGGAGACCCUUCUUUAGUGCACAGGGGCGUGGUGUUUCCGGGAGUCUGGUGGGUUUUCUCUUUUCCUGGAAAUGCUACAGUGUUGUCAGUGGUAUUGGCACACAAUGUUGGCAGGAGCCAUGGUCCACCAGGGGAAGGAAGGGUGGGUCUCCAGAGGGACCAGUGCCUGGAUGAGUAGAUGGACAUUUGAGGGAAUGCAAAUGGAGAAACUGGGUCUUACCACCAAGCGGGGCCUUUGGCUGCCACUUCUGGGAAUGGGUCCUCCUGAUAGAUGGUUGGCUCUCGAGUUGGGGCGUCAGAAGUGCUUCAGGAAAAAGCCUUAGUAUCGUUGUGUGCUUUUGGUCCGCCCGUGAGGCUGCAUGCAUGGUGGUUGAUGUGCUUUGUGAAAGAGCACAGACGCAGUUUGGAUCCCGAAUGAGCCAAUGUGGUGGCAGACCUCAGGGAUGACUUCUCUGGUAGGAGGCGCAUGUGAACCCGAGACCUCAGCUUGUAGUUAUUGAGCCUAGGACAGCCGUGAAUGGUUUGGGGAGUGGAAAGGCCUAACUGGGUCCAAAGAAGUGCGUAAGGAUUGUUGCCUGUGCCUGAAGGAAGUAGAGAGUGAUGAAAUUCAGCAGUUUGCCAAGUGCCUUUCAUAGGCGCUGGAGAGGCGUUGAGGGUCUCCUCUCCUGCACAAGUUGUGGGGUUCAGGCAUUGGACCUUCAGGGUGGGGCUGGGGCUCCUGUUGGAGUCUAUGUCACGUGGGGCUCCGAGAUGCCCGUGGCAAUGGCCCAGAAAGGCAGGAGGUUUCCAGAGGACGUACAUUCUCAAGUUCGUCCUUCCAUGCUUGGCCAUCCUGUGCAGGGAAGGUGUCAGGGUCAGAUGGGGUUGUAGAGUUGGAUGGAGAUUCUAGAUGGGUUUCCUGUGGCUGGAAGUGUUUCUUGGUCACCUUAAGAGCCACAUGGGACCUGAGCUAAGGCCGGCAUGGCGCAGGCAAGUGAAAAGUCUGCAUUCCCUAACGAGCGUGUACUGAGGAGCAGCAGGCUGCGGAGCAGGCCAGUCUUGGUUAUUCUUCAUGGGCAUCCCUCUGUUUUGUCUCCUUGCAUUCGCAUGGCAGGUCGUGUUUCCACGGAAGCAUGGAAAGGUUGCCGCCGGCUCCUGUGGCUGUGGGAAGAUGCCCAGGGAGGACGGGGAACACCCGCAUGCCCGUGCCCUCUGUUUCCUGAGUGUGGCCCUUCAUAGCUGACGAUGGUAAGCGUCUCCUUGCCCCAAGUCACCGAGGUUGGUCCUUGCCAGGUGAGGGUCACAAGCGUGGAUCGAUGAUGACUCCCACAAAAACAUUCCUUGGAAGCUGAACAAAAUGAGUGAAAACUCUAUACCGUCGUUCUCAUCGAAACUGAGGUCCACCACGUAGACGUAGGGGGCUGCAGUGAGUUGGGUGGUGGAGGGGAGAACCCUGUGGCCCUUUCCCGACGGGGGCUGUGUGGGAAUGGACCCUGGAAGGGAAGGCCCUUUUCAGCCGAGUUCACUUGGCGUUAGGACUCCGAGCCUGUAGUCCUCUGAGUGUCAGUCCUGAUUUGGUUUCGGCAUGCAUGGGUGAUCCAGAGCUCAAGACGUUGAGGAAGACAUUGGCCUGCCCGGGAUGAUUUCCUAGUGGGUGUUCGGCAGUAGGGUUCAGAGGUACUAGGAGGUUGUGGGCCAUGGCACAGGAGAGUAAGUUUCCUCCUCUUGUGGCCUGGAGACGAUUUUGCCAGGGCGAGUAGAACCAUGCUGGUCUGCUGGGUGUUCCAGAGAAAAUUGAGGUCCUCUUUCAGCGGAAGGCGGAGGCAGGCCCAGCGCAAAGCAUGGGAGACCCUUCUUUAGUGCACAGGGGCGUGGUGUUUCCGGGAGUCUGGUGGGUUUUCUCUUUUCCUGGAAAUGCUACAGUGUUGUCAGUGGUAUUGGCACACAAUGUUGGCAGGAGCCAUGGUCCACCAGGGGAAGGAAGGGUGGGUCUCCAGAGGGACCAGUGCCUGGAUGAGUAGAUGGACAUUUGAGGGAAUGCAAAUGGAGAAACUGGGUCUUACCACCAAGCGGGGCCUUUGGCUGCCACUUCUGGGAAUGGGUCCUCCUGAUAGAUGGUUGGCUCUCGAGUUGGGGCGUCAGAAGUGCUUCAGGAAAAAGCCUUAGUAUCGUUGUGUGCUUUUGGUCCGCCCGUGAGGCUGCAUGCAUGGUGGUUGAUGUGCUUUGUGAAAGAGCACAGACGCAGUUUGGAUCCCGAAUGAGCCAAUGUGGUGGCAGACCUCAGGGAUGACUUCUCUGGUAGGAGGCGCAUGUGAACCCGAGACCUCAGCUUGUAGUUAUUGAGCCUAGGACAGCCGUGAAUGGUUUGGGGAGUGGAAAGGCCUAACUGGGUCCAAAGAAGUGCGUAAGGAUUGUUGCCUGUGCCUGAAGGAAGUAGAGAGUGAUGAAAUUCAGCAGUUUGCCAAGUGCCUUUCAUAGGCGCUGGAGAGGCGUUGAGGGUCUCCUCUCCUGCACAAGUUGUGGGGUUCAGGCAUUGGACCUUCAGGGUGGGGCUGGGGCUCCUGUUGGAGUCUAUGUCACGUGGGGCUCCGAGAUGCCCGUGGCAAUGGCCCAGAAAGGCAGGAGGUUUCCAGAGGACGUACAUUCUCAAGUUCGUCCUUCCAUGCUUGGCCAUCCUGUGCAGGGAAGGUGUCAGGGUCAGAUGGGGUUGUAGAGUUGGAUGGAGAUUCUAGAUGGGUUUCCUGUGGCUGGAAGUGUUUCUUGGUCACCUUAAGAGCCACAUGGGACCUGAGCUAAGGCCGGCAUGGCGCAGGCAAGUGAAAAGUCUGCAUUCCCUAACGAGCGUGUACUGAGGAGCAGCAGGCUGCGGAGCAGGCCAGUCUUGGUUAUUCUUCAUGGGCAUCCCUCUGUUUUGUCUCCUUGCAUUCGCAUGGCAGGUCGUGUUUCCACGGAAGCAUGGAAAGGUUGCCGCCGGCUCCUGUGGCUGUGGGAAGAUGCCCAGGGAGGACGGGGAACACCCGCAUGCCCGUGCCCUCUGUUUCCUGAGUGUGGCCCUUCAUAGCUGACGAUGGUAAGCGUCUCCUUGCCCCAAGUCACCGAGGUUGGUCCUUGCCAGGUGAGGGUCACAAGCGUGGAUCGAUGAUGACUCCCACAAAAACAUUCCUUGGAAGCUGAACAAAAUGAGUGAAAACUCUAUACCGUCGUUCUCAUCGAAACUGAGGUCCACCACGUAGACGUAGGGGGCUGCAGUGAGUUGGGUGGUGGAGGGGAGAACCCUGUGGCCCUUUCCCGACGGGGGCUGUGUGGGAAUGGACCCUGGAAGGGAAGGCCCUUUUCAGCCGAGUUCACUUGGCGUUAGGACUCCGAGCCUGUAGUCCUCUGAGUGUCAGUCCUGAUUUGGUUUCGGCAUGCAUGGGUGAUCCAGAGCUCAAGACGUUGAGGAAGACAUUGGCCUGCCCGGGAUGAUUUCCUAGUGGGUGUUCGGCAGUAGGGUUCAGAGGUACUAGGAGGUUGUGGGCCAUGGCACAGGAGAGUAAGUUUCCUCCUCUUGUGGCCUGGAGACGAUUUUGCCAGGGCGAGUAGAACCAUGCUGGUCUGCUGGGUGUUCCAGAGAAAAUUGAGGUCCUCUUUCAGCGGAAGGCGGAGGCAGGCCCAGCGCAAAGCAUGGGAGACCCUUCUUUAGUGCACAGGGGCGUGGUGUUUCCGGGAGUCUGGUGGGUUUUCUCUUUUCCUGGAAAUGCUACAGUGUUGUCAGUGGUAUUGGCACACAAUGUUGGCAGGAGCCAUGGUCCACCAGGGGAAGGAAGGGUGGGUCUCCAGAGGGACCAGUGCCUGGAUGAGUAGAUGGACAUUUGAGGGAAUGCAAAUGGAGAAACUGGGUCUUACCACCAAGCGGGGCCUUUGGCUGCCACUUCUGGGAAUGGGUCCUCCUGAUAGAUGGUUGGCUCUCGAGUUGGGGCGUCAGAAGUGCUUCAGGAAAAAGCCUUAGUAUCGUUGUGUGCUUUUGGUCCGCCCGUGAGGCUGCAUGCAUGGUGGUUGAUGUGCUUUGUGAAAGAGCACAGACGCAGUUUGGAUCCCGAAUGAGCCAAUGUGGUGGCAGACCUCAGGGAUGACUUCUCUGGUAGGAGGCGCAUGUGAACCCGAGACCUCAGCUUGUAGUUAUUGAGCCUAGGACAGCCGUGAAUGGUUUGGGGAGUGGAAAGGCCUAACUGGGUCCAAAGAAGUGCGUAAGGAUUGUUGCCUGUGCCUGAAGGAAGUAGAGAGUGAUGAAAUUCAGCAGUUUGCCAAGUGCCUUUCAUAGGCGCUGGAGAGGCGUUGAGGGUCUCCUCUCCUGCACAAGUUGUGGGGUUCAGGCAUUGGACCUUCAGGGUGGGGCUGGGGCUCCUGUUGGAGUCUAUGUCACGUGGGGCUCCGAGAUGCCCGUGGCAAUGGCCCAGAAAGGCAGGAGGUUUCCAGAGGACGUACAUUCUCAAGUUCGUCCUUCCAUGCUUGGCCAUCCUGUGCAGGGAAGGUGUCAGGGUCAGAUGGGGUUGUAGAGUUGGAUGGAGAUUCUAGAUGGGUUUCCUGUGGCUGGAAGUGUUUCUUGGUCACCUUAAGAGCCACAUGGGACCUGAGCUAAGGCCGGCAUGGCGCAGGCAAGUGAAAAGUCUGCAUUCCCUAACGAGCGUGUACUGAGGAGCAGCAGGCUGCGGAGCAGGCCAGUCUUGGUUAUUCUUCAUGGGCAUCCCUCUGUUUUGUCUCCUUGCAUUCGCAUGGCAGGUCGUGUUUCCACGGAAGCAUGGAAAGGUUGCCGCCGGCUCCUGUGGCUGUGGGAAGAUGCCCAGGGAGGACGGGGAACACCCGCAUGCCCGUGCCCUCUGUUUCCUGAGUGUGGCCCUUCAUAGCUGACGAUGGUAAGCGUCUCCUUGCCCCAAGUCACCGAGGUUGGUCCUUGCCAGGUGAGGGUCACAAGCGUGGAUCGAUGAUGACUCCCACAAAAACAUUCCUUGGAAGCUGAACAAAAUGAGUGAAAACUCUAUACCGUCGUUCUCAUCGAAACUGAGGUCCACCACGUAGACGUAGGGGGCUGCAGUGAGUUGGGUGGUGGAGGGGAGAACCCUGUGGCCCUUUCCCGACGGGGGCUGUGUGGGAAUGGACCCUGGAAGGGAAGGCCCUUUUCAGCCGAGUUCACUUGGCGUUAGGACUCCGAGCCUGUAGUCCUCUGAGUGUCAGUCCUGAUUUGGUUUCGGCAUGCAUGGGUGAUCCAGAGCUCAAGACGUUGAGGAAGACAUUGGCCUGCCCGGGAUGAUUUCCUAGUGGGUGUUCGGCAGUAGGGUUCAGAGGUACUAGGAGGUUGUGGGCCAUGGCACAGGAGAGUAAGUUUCCUCCUCUUGUGGCCUGGAGACGAUUUUGCCAGGGCGAGUAGAACCAUGCUGGUCUGCUGGGUGUUCCAGAGAAAAUUGAGGUCCUCUUUCAGCGGAAGGCGGAGGCAGGCCCAGCGCAAAGCAUGGGAGACCCUUCUUUAGUGCACAGGGGCGUGGUGUUUCCGGGAGUCUGGUGGGUUUUCUCUUUUCCUGGAAAUGCUACAGUGUUGUCAGUGGUAUUGGCACACAAUGUUGGCAGGAGCCAUGGUCCACCAGGGGAAGGAAGGGUGGGUCUCCAGAGGGACCAGUGCCUGGAUGAGUAGAUGGACAUUUGAGGGAAUGCAAAUGGAGAAACUGGGUCUUACCACCAAGCGGGGCCUUUGGCUGCCACUUCUGGGAAUGGGUCCUCCUGAUAGAUGGUUGGUUCUCGAGUUGGGGCGUCAGAAGUGCUUCAGGAAAAAGCCUUAGUAUCGUUGUGUGCUUUUGGUCCGCCCGUGAGGCUGCAUGCAUGGUGGUUGAUGUGCUUUGUGAAAGAGCACAGACGCAGUUUGGAUCCCGAAUGAGCCAAUGUGGUGGCAGACCUCAGGGAUGACUUCUCUGGUAGGAGGCGCAUGUGAACCCGAGACCUCAGCUUGUAGUUAUUGAGCCUAGGACAGCCGUGAAUGGUUUGGGGAGUGGAAAGGCCUAACUGGGUCCAAAGAAGUGCGUAAGGAUUGUUGCCUGUGCCUGAAGGAAGUAGAGAGUGAUGAAAUUCAGCAGUUUGCCAAGUGCCUUUCAUAGGCGCUGGAGAGGCGUUGAGGGUCUCCUCUCCUGCACAAGUUGUGGGGUUCAGGCAUUGGACCUUCAGGGUGGGGCUGGGGCUCCUGUUGGAGUCUAUGUCACGUGGGGCUCCGAGAUGCCCGUGGCAAUGGCCCAGAAAGGCAGGAGGUUUCCAGAGGACGUACAUUCUCAAGUUCGUCCUUCCAUGCUUGGCCAUCCUGUGCAGGGAAGGUGUCAGGGUCAGAUGGGGUUGUAGAGUUGGAUGGAGAUUCUAGAUGGGUUUCCUGUGGCUGGAAGUGUUUCUUGGUCACCUUAAGAGCCACAUGGGACCUGAGCUAAGGCCGGCAUGGCGCAGGCAAGUGAAAAGUCUGCAUUCCCUAACGAGCGUGUACUGAGGAGCAGCAGGCUGCGGAGCAGGCCAGUCUUGGUUAUUCUUCAUGGGCAUCCCUCUGUUUUGUCUCCUUGCAUUCGCAUGGCAGGUCGUGUUUCCACGGAAGCAUGGAAAGGUUGCCGCCGGCUCCUGUGGCUGUGGGAAGAUGCCCAGGGAGGACGGGGAACACCCGCAUGCCCGUGCCCUCUGUUUCCUGAGUGUGGCCCUUCAUAGCUGACGAUGGUAAGCGUCUCCUUGCCCCAAGUCACCGAGGUUGGUCCUUGCCAGGUGAGGGUCACAAGCGUGGAUCGAUGAUGACUCCCACAAAAACAUUCCUUGGAAGCUGAACAAAAUGAGUGAAAACUCUAUACCGUCGUUCUCAUCGAAACUGAGGUCCACCACGUAGACGUAGGGGGCUGCAGUGAGUUGGGUGGUGGAGGGGAGAACCCUGUGGCCCUUUCCCGACGGGGGCUGUGUGGGAAUGGACCCUGGAAGGGAAGGCCCUUUUCAGCCGAGUUCACUUGGCGUUAGGACUCCGAGCCUGUAGUCCUCUGAGUGUCAGUCCUGAUUUGGUUUCGGCAUGCAUGGGUGAUCCAGAGCUCAAGACGUUGAGGAAGACAUUGGCCUGCCCGGGAUGAUUUCCUAGUGGGUGUUCGGCAGUAGGGUUCAGAGGUACUAGGAGGUUGUGGGCCAUGGCACAGGAGAGUAAGUUUCCUCCUCUUGUGGCCUGGAGACGAUUUUGCCAGGGCGAGUAGAACCAUGCUGGUCUGCUGGGUGUUCCAGAGAAAAUUGAGGUCCUCUUUCAGCGGAAGGCGGAGGCAGGCCCAGCGCAAAGCAUGGGAGACCCUUCUUUAGUGCACAGGGGCGUGGUGUUUCCGGGAGUCUGGUGGGUUUUCUCUUUUCCUGGAAAUGCUACAGUGUUGUCAGUGGUAUUGGCACACAAUGUUGGCAGGAGCCAUGGUCCACCAGGGGAAGGAAGGGUGGGUCUCCAGAGGGACCAGUGCCUGGAUGAGUAGAUGGACAUUUGAGGGAAUGCAAAUGGAGAAACUGGGUCUUACCACCAAGCGGGGCCUUUGGCUGCCACUUCUGGGAAUGGGUCCUCCUGAUAGAUGGUUGGUUCUCGAGUUGGGGCGUCAGAAGUGCUUCAGGAAAAAGCCUUAGUAUCGUUGUGUGCUUUUGGUCCGCCCGUGAGGCUGCAUGCAUGGUGGUUGAUGUGCUUUGUGAAAGAGCACAGACGCAGUUUGGAUCCCGAAUGAGCCAAUGUGGUGGCAGACCUCAGGGAUGACUUCUCUGGUAGGAGGCGCAUGUGAACCCGAGACCUCAGCUUGUAGUUAUUGAGCCUAGGACAGCCGUGAAUGGUUUGGGGAGUGGAAAGGCCUAACUGGGUCCAAAGAAGUGCGUAAGGAUUGUUGCCUGUGCCUGAAGGAAGUAGAGAGUGAUGAAAUUCAGCAGUUUGCCAAGUGCCUUUCAUAGGCGCUGGAGAGGCGUUGAGGGUCUCCUCUCCUGCACAAGUUGUGGGGUUCAGGCAUUGGACCUUCAGGGUGGGGCUGGGGCUCCUGUUGGAGUCUAUGUCACGUGGGGCUCCGAGAUGCCCGUGGCAAUGGCCCAGAAAGGCAGGAGGUUUCCAGAGGACGUACAUUCUCAAGUUCGUCCUUCCAUGCUUGGCCAUCCUGUGCAGGGAAGGUGUCAGGGUCAGAUGGGGUUGUAGAGUUGGAUGGAGAUUCUAGAUGGGUUUCCUGUGGCUGGAAGUGUUUCUUGGUCACCUUAAGAGCCACAUGGGACCUGAGCUAAGGCCGGCAUGGCGCAGGCAAGUGAAAAGUCUGCAUUCCCUAACGAGCGUGUACUGAGGAGCAGCAGGCUGCGGAGCAGGCCAGUCUUGGUUAUUCUUCAUGGGCAUCCCUCUGUUUUGUCUCCUUGCAUUCGCAUGGCAGGUCGUGUUUCCACGGAAGCAUGGAAAGGUUGCCGCCGGCUCCUGUGGCUGUGGGAAGAUGCCCAGGGAGGACGGGGAACACCCGCAUGCCCGUGCCCUCUGUUUCCUGAGUGUGGCCCUUCAUAGCUGACGAUGGUAAGCGUCUCCUUGCCCCAAGUCACCGAGGUUGGUCCUUGCCAGGUGAGGGUCACAAGCGUGGAUCGAUGAUGACUCCCACAAAAACAUUCCUUGGAAGCUGAACAAAAUGAGUGAAAACUCUAUACCGUCGUUCUCAUCGAAACUGAGGUCCACCACGUAGACGUAGGGGGCUGCAGUGAGUUGGGUGGUGGAGGGGAGAACCCUGUGGCCCUUUCCCGACGGGGGCUGUGUGGGAAUGGACCCUGGAAGGGAAGGCCCUUUUCAGCCGAGUUCACUUGGCGUUAGGACUCCGAGCCUGUAGUCCUCUGAGUGUCAGUCCUGAUUUGGUUUCGGCAUGCAUGGGUGAUCCAGAGCUCAAGACGUUGAGGAAGACAUUGGCCUGCCCGGGAUGAUUUCCUAGUGGGUGUUCGGCAGUAGGGUUCAGAGGUACUAGGAGGUUGUGGGCCAUGGCACAGGAGAGUAAGUUUCCUCCUCUUGUGGCCUGGAGACGAUUUUGCCAGGGCGAGUAGAACCAUGCUGGUCUGCUGGGUGUUCCAGAGAAAAUUGAGGUCCUCUUUCAGCGGAAGGCGGAGGCAGGCCCAGCGCAAAGCAUGGGAGACCCUUCUUUAGUGCACAGGGGCGUGGUGUUUCCGGGAGUCUGGUGGGUUUUCUCUUUUCCUGGAAAUGCUACAGUGUUGUCAGUGGUAUUGGCACACAAUGUUGGCAGGAGCCAUGGUCCACCAGGGGAAGGAAGGGUGGGUCUCCAGAGGGACCAGUGCCUGGAUGAGUAGAUGGACAUUUGAGGGAAUGCAAAUGGAGAAACUGGGUCUUACCACCAAGCGGGGCCUUUGGCUGCCACUUCUGGGAAUGGGUCCUCCUGAUAGAUGGUUGGCUCUCGAGUUGGGGCGUCAGAAGUGCUUCAGGAAAAAGCCUUAGUAUCGUUGUGUGCUUUUGGUCCGCCCGUGAGGCUGCAUGCAUGGUGGUUGAUGUGCUUUGUGAAAGAGCACAGACGCAGUUUGGAUCCCGAAUGAGCCAAUGUGGUGGCAGACCUCAGGGAUGACUUCUCUGGUAGGAGGCGCAUGUGAACCCGAGACCUCAGCUUGUAGUUAUUGAGCCUAGGACAGCCGUGAAUGGUUUGGGGAGUGGAAAGGCCUAACUGGGUCCAAAGAAGUGCGUAAGGAUUGUUGCCUGUGCCUGAAGGAAGUAGAGAGUGAUGAAAUUCAGCAGUUUGCCAAGUGCCUUUCAUAGGCGCUGGAGAGGCGUUGAGGGUCUCCUCUCCUGCACAAGUUGUGGGGUUCAGGCAUUGGACCUUCAGGGUGGGGCUGGGGCUCCUGUUGGAGUCUAUGUCACGUGGGGCUCCGAGAUGCCCGUGGCAAUGGCCCAGAAAGGCAGGAGGUUUCCAGAGGACGUACAUUCUCAAGUUCGUCCUUCCAUGCUUGGCCAUCCUGUGCAGGGAAGGUGUCAGGGUCAGAUGGGGUUGUAGAGUUGGAUGGAGAUUCUAGAUGGGUUUCCUGUGGCUGGAAGUGUUUCUUGGUCACCUUAAGAGCCACAUGGGACCUGAGCUAAGGCCGGCAUGGCGCAGGCAAGUGAAAAGUCUGCAUUCCCUAACGAGCGUGUACUGAGGAGCAGCAGGCUGCGGAGCAGGCCAGUCUUGGUUAUUCUUCAUGGGCAUCCCUCUGUUUUGUCUCCUUGCAUUCGCAUGGCAGGUCGUGUUUCCACGGAAGCAUGGAAAGGUUGCCGCCGGCUGCUGUGGCUGUGGGAAGAUGCCCAGGGAGGACGGGGAACACCCGCAUGCCCGUGCCCUCUGUUUCCUGAGUGUGGCCCUUCAUAGCUGACGAUGGUCAUGUUUCUACAGACGCAUUGAAAGGUUCUGGCCGGUUCCCCUGUCCAUGUGAACAUGCCCAAGGAGGACGGGGAACACCUGCAUCCCCAUGCCCUCUGUUUCCUGUGUGUCGCCCUGCAUGGCUUCCGAUGGUAAGCGUCUCCUCUGCUAUAGUCCUCGAGGUUGCUCCUUUCCAGGUGAGGGUCAUAAGCGUGGAUUGAUGAUGACUUUCACAAAAACAUUCUUUGGAAGCUGAACAAAAUGAGUUGAAAAUCUAUACAUUAUUCUCAUCGAAUCUGAGGUCCAUCACAUAGACAUAGCAGGCAGCAGUGAGGCGGGUGGUGGAAGGGAGAAUCCUGUGCCCCUUUCCUGAUCGGGGCUGUGUUUAUGGAUCCUUUUCAGCCUAGUUCACUUGGUAUUAGGGCUUCCAGCCUGUAGUUCUCUGUUGUCAGUCCUCGUUUGGUUUCUGCAUGCAUGGGUGAUCCAGGGCUCAGGAUGUUGAGUAAGACAGUGGCCUGCACACAAUGAUUUCCUAGUGCAUGUUUGGCAGUAGGGUUCGCCCUAUCUAGGAGGUUUUGGUCCAUGGCAGCAUAAGAAUAAGUUUCCUCCUCUUGUGUACUGGAGUUGUUUUGCCCAUGCACGUAGCACCAUGCUGGUCUGCGGGUUCUUACAGAGACACUCUGGUCCCCGUUGAGCAGACAGCAGAGGAAGGAUGAGCGCAAAGCAUGGCAAGACCCUUUUUUAGUGUACAGGGGCGUGGUGUUUACGGGAGUCUGAUAGGUUUUCCCUUUUCCUGGAAAUGCUACAGUUGUGCUAGUGGUAUUUUCGCACAACGUUUUAAGAGCUAUUGUCUAGCAGGGGAAGGACCGGUGGGUCUUCAGAGGGACCAGUGCCUGGAUGAGUAGAUGGACAUUUGAGGGAAUGCAAAUGGAGAAACUGGGUCUUACCACAAGCGGUGCCUUUUGUUGCCACUUCUGGGAAUGGAUCCUCCUGAUAGAUGGUUGGCUCUCGAGUUGGGGCAUCAGAAGUGCUUCAGUAGUACUAAGUGCCUUAGUAUCGUUGUGUGCUUUUGGUCCUUCCGUUAGGCUGCAUGCAUGGUGGUUGAUGUGCAUUCUGAAAGAGCAUAGACGCAGUUUGUAUCCCGAAUGAGCCAAUGUGGUGGCAGACCUCAGGGAUGACUUCUUUUGUAGGAGGCGCAUGUGAACCCAAGCCGUCAGCUUCUAGUUUUUGAGCAUAGGACAACCGUGAAUGGUUUGGGGAGUGGAAAGGCCUAACUGGGUCCAAGGUAGUUCAUAAAGAUUGUUGCCUGUGCCUGAAGGAAGUAGAGAGUGAUGAAAUUCAGCAGUUUGCCAAGUGCCUUUCAUAGUCGCUGGACAGGCAUUGAGGGUCUCCUCUCCUGCACAAGUUGUGCAGUCAGCCAGUGGAGCAUAAUGGGGGAGCCAGGGCUCCUGUUGGAAUCUAUAUCAUGUGGGGCUCUGAGAUGCAUGUGGCAAUGGCUCAGAAAGGCAGGAGGUUUCCAGAUGAUGUACUGUCUCAAGUUCAUCCUUCCAUGCUCUGACUUCCUGUGGAGGGAAGUUGUCAGGGUCAGAUUGGGUCAUAGAGUUUGGGCCGGAGAGCCUCAGAUGGGUUUCCUGUGGCUUCUGGAAGUGUUUCUUGGGCAGCUUAAGAGCCACAUGGGAACUGCGCUAAGACCGGCAUGGCGUAGGCAACUGAAAAGGCUGCAGUCCCUAUUGAGUGUUUACUGAGGAGCAGCAGGCUUCGGAGUAGUCCAGUCAUGGGUUUUUUCAUGGGCAUCUCUCUCUUUUGUCUCCUUGCAUAUGCAUGGCAUGUCGUGUUUCCACGGAAGGAUUGAAAGGUUGCCUCCGGUUCUCCUGGCUGUGGGAAGAUGCCCAAGGAGGACAGGGAACACCCACCUCCCCGUGCCCUCUGUUUCCUGAGUAUUGUGUUUCUUCUCUUUUGAGGAUAAUGAUUGUCUUUUUGUUUGGCAGACUCUUCCUCAUCCAGGGUCAAAUGAAACUUGGGUAUUAGAUUAUGAAGUCCUUGAUGCCAAAUCAUGAUUGACAGAUCUCAUGCACCAAGCAGGAAUGCAUACAGGACCUGUUGGUGUAAGCACAGCAGCAUAUCCUUUUCCCCAUGUGAUCAGAGGCACAGGGUCCCACCAUCCUGGGUCUGGUGGAACCUUGUAUUUUACGUGAAUUUUUUGGUAAUGGUUGUUUGGGAAUAAAAUGUCUAUCCAAGUCA